RNAcentral lists this ribosomal RNA (561 nucleotides) under Fusarium sp. SK4PW5G1. Its description in RNAcentral is "eukaryotic LSU rRNA". The stretch from base 200 to 353 matches the Rfam family "5.8S ribosomal RNA". Lineage: Eukaryota; Fungi; Ascomycota; Sordariomycetes; Hypocreales; Nectriaceae. The record is from RNAcentral.
UUGGUAAGGUCUCGUUGGUGACCAGCGGAGGGUCAUUACCGAGUUUACAACUCCCAAACCCCUGUGAACAUACCUAUAAUUUGCCUCGGCAGACUCAACGACGGUGCUCCGAGAAAUCGGGCGCCGCUCGCUGCCAGAGGAACCCCAAACUCUAUGUAUUCUUGUGGAUCUUCUGAGUAAAACAAACCAAAUAAAUCAAAACUUUCAACAACGGAUCUCUUGGUUCUGGCAUCGAUGAAGAACGCAGCGAAAUGCGAUAAGUAAUGUGAAUUGCAGAAUUCAGUGAAUCAUCGAAUCUUUGAACGCACAUUGCGCCCGCCAGUAUUCUGGCGGGCAUGCCUGUUCGAGCGUCAUUUCAACCCUCAAGCCCUAGGGCUUGGUGUUGGGGAUCGGCGAUAGUCGCCGUCCCCCAAAUCUAGUGGCGGUCUCGCUGUAGCCUCCAUUGCGUAGUAGCUAACACCUCGCAACUGGAACGCGGCGCGGCCAAGCCGUUAAACCCCCCAACUUCUGAAUGUUGACCUCGGAUCAGGUAGGAAUACCCGCUGAACUUAAGCAUAUCAA